Molecule: ribosomal RNA, 376 nt
Filed under: uncultured bacterium
Lineage: Bacteria
Description: bacterial SSU rRNA
Rfam family: Bacterial small subunit ribosomal RNA
Source: RNAcentral
UACGUAGGUGGCAAGCGUUGUCCGGAAUUACUGGGUGUAAAGGGAGCGCAGGCGGGAAGGCAAGUUAGAUGUGAAAUACCACAGCUCAACUGUGGAACUGCAUUUAAAACUGCUUUUCUUGAGUGAAGUAGAGGUAGGCGGAAUUCCUAGUGUAGCGGUGAAAUGCGUAGAUAUUAGGAGGAACACCAGUGGCGAAGGCGGCCUACUGGGCUUUUACUGACGCUGAGGCUCGAAAGCGUGGGGAGCAAACAGGAUUAGAUACCCUGGUAGUCCACGCUGUAAACGAUGAUUACUAGGUGUGGGGCGGUCUGACCCGUUCCGUGCCGGAGUUAACACAAUAAGUAAUCCACCUGGGGAGUACGACCGCAAGGUUGAA